RNAcentral lists this non-coding RNA (27 nucleotides) under Homo sapiens (human). The record is from RNAcentral. Lineage: Eukaryota; Metazoa; Chordata; Mammalia; Primates; Hominidae.
GGAGUUGCACUGAUAGCCUAGACUGAC